This 207-nucleotide ribosomal RNA is filed under the name uncultured bacterium. RNAcentral describes it as "partial 16S ribosomal RNA". It matches the Rfam family "Bacterial small subunit ribosomal RNA", at positions 568 to 774 of the family's 1533-position model. The record is from RNAcentral.
CGUGCAGGCGGGUUGGUAAGUCAGAUGUGAAAGCCCUGGGCUCAACCCAGGAAGUGCAUUUGAAACUGCCAUCCUUGAGUAUGGGAGAGGAGAGUGGAAUUCCCAAUGUAGAGGUGAAAUUCGUAGAUAUUGGGAGGAACACCCGUGGCGAAGGCGACCCUCUGGACCAAUACUGACGCUGAGACGCGAAAGCGUGGGGAGCAAACA